GACGAACGCUGGCGGCGUGCUUAACACAUGCAAGUCGAACGGAAAGGCCCUGCUUUUGUGGGGUGCUCGAGUGGCGAACGGGUGAGUAACACGUGAGUAACCUGCCCUUGACUUUGGGAUAACUUCAGGAAACUGGGGCUAAUACCGGAUAGGAGCUCCUGCUGCAUGGUGGGGGUUGGAAAGUUUCGGCGGUUGGGGAUGGACUCGCGGCUUAUCAGCUUGUUGGUGGGGUAGUGGCUUACCAAGGCUUUGACGGGUAGCCGGCCUGAGAGGGUGACCGGCCACAUUGGGACUGAGCUACGGCCCAGACUCCUACGGGAGGCAGCAGUGGGGAAUAUUGCACAAUGGGCGGAAGCCUGAUGCAGCAACGCCGCGUGCGGGAUGACGGCCUUCGGGUUGUAAACCGCUUUCGCCUGUGACGAGGCGUGAGUGACGGUAAUGGGUAAAGAAGCACCGGCUAACUACGUG
This 468-nucleotide ribosomal RNA is filed under the name uncultured bacterium. RNAcentral's name for it is "partial 16S ribosomal RNA". It matches the Rfam family "Bacterial small subunit ribosomal RNA", at positions 28 to 507 of the family's 1533-position model. The record is from RNAcentral.